This 733-nucleotide ribosomal RNA is filed under the name uncultured fungus. RNAcentral's name for it is "SSU rRNA". It matches the Rfam family "Eukaryotic small subunit ribosomal RNA", at positions 837 to 1591 of the family's 1831-position model. Lineage: Eukaryota; Fungi. The record is from RNAcentral.
UAUUUUGUUGGUUUCUAGGACCGCCGUAAUGAUUAAUAGGGACAGUCGGUGGCAUCAGUAUUCAAUUGUCAGAGGGGAAAUUCUUGGAUUUAUUGAAGACUAACUACUGCGAAAGCAUUUGCCAAGGAUGUUUUCAUUCAUCAGUGAACGAAAGUUAGGGGAUCGAAGACGAUCAGAAACCGUCGUAGUCUUAACCAUAAACUAUGCCGACUAGGGAUCGGGCGGUGUUACUAUCUUGACCCUCUCGGCACCCUACGAGAAAUCAAAAUGUUUGGGUUUUGGGGGGAGUAUGGUCGCAAGGCUGAAAAUUAAAGAAAUUGAGGGAAGGGCACCCCCAGGGGGGGAGCCUGCGGCUUAAUUUGACCCAACACGGGGAAACUCACCAGGUCCAGAUGAAAUAAGGAUUGACAGAUUGAGAGCUCUUUUUUGAUUUUUCAGGGGGCGGUGCAUGGCCGUUUUUAGUUGGGGGAGUGAUUUGUCUGCUUAAUUGCGAUAACGAACGAGACCUUAACCUGCUAAAUAGCCAGGCUAGCUUUGGCUGGUCGCCGGCUUUUUAGAGGGACUAUCGGCUCAAGCCGAUGGAAGUUUGAGGCAAUAACAGGUCUGUGAUGCCCUUAGAUGUUCUGGGCCGCACGCGCGCUACACUGACAGAGCCAACGAGUUCUUUUCCUUGGCCGGAAGGUCCGGGUAAUCUUGUUAAACUCUGUCGUGCUGGGGAUAGAGCAUUGCAAUA